AGUGGCGGACGGGUGAGUAAUGUCUGGGAAACUGCCUGAUGGAGGGGGAUAACUACUGGAAACGGUAGCUAAUACCGCAUAACGUCGCAAGACCAAAGAGGGGGACCUUCGGGCCUCUUGCCAUCGGAUGUGCCCAGAUGGGAUUAGCUAGUAGGUGGGGUAACGGCUCACCUAGGCGACGAUCCCUAGCUGGUCUGAGAGGAUGACCAGCCACACUGGAACUGAGACACGGUCCAGACUCCUACGGGAGGCAGCAGUGGGGAAUAUUGCACAAUGGGCGCAAGCCUGAUGCAGCCAUGCCGCGUGUAUGAAGAAGGCCUUCGGGUUGUAAAGUACUUUCAGCGGGGAGGAAGGGAGUAAAGUUAAUACCUUUGCUCAUUGACGUUACCCGCAGAAGAAGCACCGGCUAACUCCGUGCCAGCAGCCGCGGUAAUACGGAGGGUGCAAGCGUUAAUCGGAAUUACUGGGCGUAAAGCGCACGCAGGCGGUUUGUUAAGUCAGAUGUGAAAUCCCCGGGCUCAACCUGGGAACUGCAUCUGAUACUGGCAAGCUUGAGUCUCGUAGAGGGGGGUAGAAUUCCCGGUGUAGCGGUGAAAUGCGUAGAGAUCUGGAGGAAUACCGGUGGCGAAGGCCGGCCCCCUGGACGGAGACUGACGCUCAGGUGCGAAAGCCUGGGGAGCAAACAGGAUUAGAUACCCUGGUAGUCCACGCCGUAAACGAUGUCCACUUGGAGG
Molecule: ribosomal RNA, 734 nt
Filed under: uncultured bacterium
Lineage: Bacteria
Description: bacterial SSU rRNA
Rfam family: Bacterial small subunit ribosomal RNA
Source: RNAcentral